GCCGGACCGCUGCCCUUCGCGCCUGGGCUGGCCGCCGUGGGGCGCCAGCUACCGGCUGGGGUGGGGGCUGGUUUUCUCGCAGGCCAUCGGGGAAGGCCGCUGGAGAGAGGGGAGGGAGGACAGGGGGUGGGAGCGGCGGGAGGGCAGCCGGAGAGCAGGGCGAGGAGGCGAGACCUGGUUCCAUCUAAGGAUAGACACAUGGAAAGAGUGUCAUACUUAUCAAACCAUAAGAAGAAGCUGGGAAAUCUGCAAAAUCACACUGCUGCUGAACCCAUCAGAGUGCUGACUUUGAACGGCUACCAUCAGGGUAAAAUUUGAGGAACGCUGGCAUGAGCCUCCAGACAGACAAGACACUGGCAAUCCCUCACCUGUCCCAGAGCACUGGAAGUGUUAGGUAGUUAGAUAAGUGGGGGCACCAGGCAGACAGAUGGAGGAGAGAGAGGAUGGUCUGGAUGAUGGUGGCAUGCCUGCCUCCAGCAUAAAGGGGCUUUACUUCUUUUAAGUGAGUGCCAGCAAGAAACCAGUUAGAACUAAAGGGAUGGAACUUCAUGGUAGUGACAAGGACCUAACCGGACAUGACCCAGUGCUCAUUGUAAUAUAAUUAGCAUUGAGGUUCUGGCCCCUCCAUGGGUUUUUCUGUGUUCAUCAUGGAUAAGGGCAUUCACAAAAGGGGACAAACAUGACUGAGCACUCCAGGGGCAAGAGCCAUCAAUCAAUCAAAAGACCACCUCUAAGUGAGGGUACAAGAGGAAGGAGCAAAGACCAUUGCUGUCUGCACUUGGAUCAGCCUGCCUCCUGUUCUUGGAGGGGUACUUCACCUUUCCUAAUAAAAUCUUUCACUGCACAAUG
Long non-coding RNA from Camelus dromedarius (Arabian camel), 849 nucleotides. RefSeq lists it as uncharacterized. The record is from RefSeq and is a predicted model, not a curated record. The transcript has 2 exons. Lineage: Eukaryota; Metazoa; Chordata; Mammalia; Artiodactyla; Camelidae.